Gorilla gorilla gorilla (western lowland gorilla) is the source of this 13985-nucleotide long non-coding RNA. RefSeq lists it as uncharacterized. The transcript is spliced from 4 exons. The record is from RefSeq and is a predicted model, not a curated record. NCBI's taxonomy places the organism in Eukaryota, Metazoa, Chordata, Mammalia, Primates, Hominidae.
UCAGCAAAUAUUAGGCUAACUCUAGGCAGAUGCCUCCUUGCUCCAGGCUGACAAGCCCGGGCUUGUGCUUAUUUCACUGUCCAACCCUGCCCAGGCGCCGGGGAGAAGCCUGGUAUUCUUCGUGUUUAUUUAAUUGUCAACUCUCUGUGUUCUAAGACGAUACCCUGGCCUCGACUCAGUACAACCUAGGACUGUAAGUCCCAUGAUGUCUAUGGACUUCAGUUUCCAGACAUGAAACACAAGAGGCUUGGACGAGAUUAGAAAUCAAGAACUCGAAUGCGUAUGGUCAGAGCCACGAGGAAUUCCUGUGAGCAUUCCUCUUCAAGAUGGAAGAAAAAGGGAACAUUUCACAGCCCCUAUGGUACAACGUCUGCCUAUAGCCAACAAUACAAUCUCCAUCCAUGUAUGAUGUGACUUGCUCCUACAUGCCUUCCACCAUAAUUAUGAGGCCUCCUGAGCCAUGUGGAACUGUAAGUCUGUUAAACCUCUUUUUCUUCCCAGUCUUUGGUAUGUCUUUAUCAGCAGUGUGAAAAUGGACUAAUACAAGAUAUAUUUAAAAAUGCUCAACAUCACUAAUCAUCAGGGAAAUGCAAAUCAAAAUUAUGAGAUAGCACUUCACUCCAGUCAGAAUGGCUAUGGCUACUAUAAAAACUUAUCUCACUUUUGAUCUGUAGCCAUUAUAUUUAAAAGUUUCAUCAAUUCUAAGAUGCAUGUUUAUAAAAAAUCAAUCUCUCUGAAAUCAGGAGUAUUUAAUAAUUGGAGACAUUAAUUUAAAGAAAAUGCUAUAUAUCUUAUUAUUUUAAAGACAGCAUCAGAAUUCCCCAGGGGUUAAAUUUGUAACAUCAUGUCCAUGUGUAAUUUUAAAUUUAUCCAAUAAGAAUAAGAUGGUUGAUUGAAGGUGCUUAGUGCUUAUUCCCCUCCUCACAAAAAUGGACCAAAACAGUAAACAAAUAACUACAUUUUGACCAGAGUGACUAAAGGAGAGUGCUGAAGUAUAGCAAGGGAGUGGCAGAAACUCUGUGUGGCAUAGAAACUCAGGAUGGCUUCAUAGAAAAGGGGUUGAAACACCUUGCUUCUGCCAGCCCAUUCCCUGAGUUGGGAUCAACUCAGAAACCAGGAGGGCCUUCUCUCUCUAACGAAGAGGUAAGCAAGAGGCCCUGAGAGACCCUCAUCACCACCACAGGCACUUGCAGUCUUCACUACUGGAGAAGCCUGCAAUCCUCACAGGCACUGAGUCCAGUUUAGGGAGCUGCCUGGAGUUCAUACAGCUGCAUUACUCCAGGGGAGGAGCCCACAUUGUGCCCUGCUCCUUGUUUUCCAACCUCCUACUGCAUGGUUCCAUUUUCAAACCACAGCCCCUCUUAGAGUGUACCCUGCUCCAGGGACCAGUAGCCAUUGCAUCCCUCCAUCCCAGAGAUUCUGCUGUUAUGGCUUCACACAGACACACAGUACUGCACCACAUUCUCCAGCUAUACUGCCCAGGAAUCACUCUACCUUCCCCAUCCCUGUUGCUGCUGCACCUCAACCUGCUACUUGAAACCAUAGGCCCAGCAAAGAAACUGUGCUCCAAGUGCCUAAACCAAUUCAGUUCCCUGUUCCCCAGGAAUCAGAGCUUCAGCAUAGGGAAGCAGCCAUGACCCCAGCAUCGAAGCCCAUGCUGUGCCUUGCCCUUAGGAGACCAGGUGCUCUCAUCUAGUGUAAUAGCUGUACCUAAGCCUGUGGAGCAGUCAAGGCCCCUCAGCUUUAACCAAUCUGAUUCCCCACCCCCAGGGAAUCACAGUUUUGGCCCUGAGAGCAGCUGAAAGCCUGACACUCAAGCCCAUAUGGAACCUUGUUCCCUGGAAACCAGAUGCACGUGCCUUUCAGAGUAGCUGUGCCCUCAGCACUUGAAGCAACCCAGUACCUUGCCUCUCUGAAUCGGAGCUUCAGCCCAGGGGAGUAGCUGUGACACUGGCACUUGAGCCCAUAUAGCAUCAGACCUCUCAGAUAUCCAGAGCCUGGUCCAGAAGAGCAGUUACACCCCCUGGCACCUGAGUGAUGUGAUGCCUUACACUCAGGGAAACAGAGCCUUGGAUGAGCUUUGCCACCCCACUGUCUGGGCUGAACAGCUGCAGUGGCCUGCUUCCAUGAAUCUGGACUAUCCCACUGAAGUCUGAGUGGUUGAGUUAGGCCAUAAUUACACUGCUUCUCACCGUCUGGAGUUCAAGUCACUGCUGUACCCUGCCAUUCCUGGGUCCUUUCUAUCACCACGCUUGGCAUCACAAAGUUUGAGCCAGUGCUGUAUCCUACCACUCCAGUGUCCAGAGUCACCACUGUGUGGUGUAAUUUCUCCUGUUGCUCGAGUUACCACUGUGCCCUGUUGUAUCUUGGAGCCCAAAUUGCAGCUGUUCCCUGCUUUAAGGAGCAUAAUAAUGCUCUAGUAACUAACCUCAAAGAAAUGAAAAUCUAUGAAUUAUUUGAAAAGGAAUUUGAAACAAUGCUUUAAGGAUACUCAGUAAGAUACAGGAGAAUACAGAUAGAUAAUUUAAUGAAAUUAGAAAAACAAUUCAUAAUAAAAAUGAAAAAUUCAACAAAAAGAUGUUAUAGAAAAGAGCCAACAGAGAUCUUGGAGCUGAGGAACACUAUGAAUGAAAUAGAAAAUACGAUUGAGAGUAACAGUAAAUUACAUAAAGGAGAAGGAAGAAUCUGUAAACUUGAAGACAGGUCUUUUGAAAUCAACUAAUCCAUGGAAAAAAACAAGAUUAAAAAAAGAGUGAAGAAAGCCUACAGGACUUAUGGGAUAACAUUAAGCAAACAAAGAUUUGCAUUAUGGGAAUUCCAGAGUACAAAGAGAUGGUGAAGGUCACAGAAACAUUAUUUAACAAAAUAAUUAUGGAAAACUUCUCAAGUCUUAGAAGUGAUUUGGGUAUCCAGAUCCAUUUGGCUCAAACCAAAAACAGGUUCAACUCAAAGAGGUCCAUAUUGAGGCACAUUAUAAUCAAAAUGUCAAAAGUCAAAGACAAAGAAAAACUUAAAAGCAACAAGAGAAUAUCAUUAAAUGACAGAGAAGAAAAUCUCCUUUAGUCUAUCAACAGAUUUCUCAGCAGAAACUUUUCAGGCCAAGAGAAAAUGGGAUGAUAUAUUCAAAAUGCUGAAAGAAAAAUCUGCCAGUCAAGAAUACUCUAUCUAGUAAAACUGUCCUACAGAAAUGAAGGAGAAAUAAUUUCCUAGACAAACAAAAGUUGAGGGAAUUCAUUACCACUAGAACUGCCUUAUAUGAUAUGCCUAAGGGAGUGUUUCAACCAGAAAUGAAAGCAUGAUAAUUACUAACAUGAAAAUGUAUGAAAUAAACCUCAUUGGCAGAGGUAAAUUCAUAAUCAAAUUCAAAAUGCUGUGUGACAGAAGUGGUGGUGGGUAAAUCUUUCAAAUCUCUAGUAUGAAGGUUAAAAGUCAAAAUGGUAAAAAUAAGUAACUAUAGUUACCAUAAGUUGCUAAGGAAUAUACAAUACAAAAGAAUGCAAAUUGUGGUAACCCUAUUAUAAAUCAUAAUGAGGAGGAUAAAAUAUUUGAUGUGACCCAAAUUAAGUUGUUAUCAGCUAAAAAUAGCUUAUUAUAACUAUAAGAUAUUUUAUGUAAACCCCAUGAUAACUACAAAGCAAAAAACUACAGCACAUACAUGAACAAGAAAGAGAAAAAAAUAAAAAUUAGCGCUCCAGAAAAUCACCAAAUCACCAAGAUGAACAAUAAGAGAGGAAGAAAGAAAAGUGAUCUAACAAUGUCAACAAAAUGGCAGCAAUAAAUCCUUACCUAUCAUUAAAAAACUUAAAUGUAAAUAGAUUAAACUCUCUUAUUAGAAGACAAAAAAGUGGCUGAAUGGAUUUAAAAAAAGAAGAUGCAACUAUAUUGUGCUUACAAGAGACCAUUUUUGUUUUAAGGAUAAAUACAGUUUGAAAGUGAGAUAGAAGAAGAUAUUACAGGCCACUAGUAACUAGAAAAAAGCUGAGGUGGUUUUAUUUAUAUCAGUUAAAAUAGACAUUAAGUCAAGAACUGUUAUAACAGACAAAAGGGCCAUUAUUUAAUAAUAAAGGAGUCAACUCAUCAAGAAGACAAUUUAUAAUUUUUAAUCACAAUAUUUACAAUUUUCAUAAUUAUAAAUGUAGAUGCACUCAACAUAAAAGCACAUAAAUAUAUAAAGCGAAUUUUAAUGAACAUGAGGGAAGAAAUAGAUAGCAAUACAAUAAUACUAGGGUACUUUAAUAUCCCACUUUCAAUAAUGGAUAGAUCAGCUGGACAGAAGGUUCACAAGGAAAUUCUGGAACAGAACUGAACUUUACACCAAUUGGACCUUAGAGACACAUAUAGAGUUUUUCAUCUGACAGUAGCGGAAUAUAUAUUCUUCUUUAACAUUCAUGAGCUGUACUUCAGUAUAGACCAUAUGUUAGGCCACGAAACAAGUCUUAGCAAAUUAAAAGAUAUUGAAAUUAUAUCUAGUAUUGUCUCCAACCAGAAUAGUACCAUUGUAGUUUCAUACUGGAAAUCAGUAACAGGAAGAAUCUUGGAAAAUUUACAAAUAUGUGGAAAUUAAACAACAUGCUUCUGAACAACCAAGGUUAAAGAAAAAAAUAAAAGAGAAAACUUAAAAAAUUUCUUGAGACAAAUGGCAAUGGAAGCACAACAUAUGCCAACCUAUGGGGUAUAGCAACAUCCAAAGCAAUUCUAAGAGGGAAGUUGAUAGCAAUAAGUGCCUACAUUAAAAAUGAAGGAAUAUCCCCAAAACAUAGUGCAACAUUAUGCUUCAAGGGGCUAGAAAAAGAACAAACUAAACCCAAAGUUAGUAGAAGGAAAUAAAUAAUAAAGAUCAGAGAAAAAAAUAAAUCAAAUAGAAAACAGAAAACUACAGAAAAAAAUCAAUAAAAUCAAGAAUUGGAUUUUUGAGAAAUUAAACAAAAUAAUCAAAUCCUUCAACUAAGAAAAAAAAGAGAGAAGCCUCAAAAAAUAAAAUUAGAAAUGAAAGUGGAGACAUUUUAACAGAUAUAUCAGAAAUAAAAAGGGUCAUAACGGACUACUAUGAACAAUUCUAUGUCAACAAAUAGAAUAACCUAGGCGACAUUGAUAAAUUUCUAGAAAAAUAUAACCUACCAAGUUUGAGUCAGGAAGUAAUAGAAAGUUUGAGUAAAUCAAUAACAAAUAAAGAGAUGGAAGAGUUUAAAACCUAUAAGCCCAAGACCAGGUGGCUUUUUGGUUGAAUUCUACCAAAAAUUCAAAGAAGCAUCAUCAUCAAUACUUCUUAAAUGUAUGCAAAAAAUAGAGCUAGCAGAAAUACUUCCAAACACAUUUUCGAAGCCAGCAUCACUUUGCUACUUAAACCAGAAAAAGAUACCACAAGAGAACAAAACUACAGGCUCUGAUGAUCUUUGAUGCAAACAUCUUCAAUAAAAUAUUAGCAAACCGAAUUCAAGAACACAUCAAGAAGAUUACACAUCAUGACCAAGUGAGAUUUAUCUCUGCCAUGCAAAGCUUUUUAAAAAAUUAAUCAAUAUGAUAUAAAAUUAAAUCAAUGUGAUUUAUCAUAUUAACAGAAUGAAAGAACAUACAUGAUCAUCUCAAUUGACACAGAGAAAAGCAUUUGACAAAAGUUCAGCGUUCUUUCUUCAUGAAAACUCUUAACAGUUUAGAUAAAGAAAGUUUCUCAACAUAACAAAGGUCAUUUAUGAAAUAUCCACAGAUAACAUCAUAUCAGUGGGGAACAAGUGAAAGUUUUCUACUAAGAUCCAGUUCAAGGUAGAAUGCACACUUUUACCACUUCUAUUCAAUAUAGUACUGCAAGUACAAUAUAGUACUGCAAGAGCAAUCAGAGAAGAAGAAAAAAUAAAGGCAUCCAAACUGAGAAGAAAGAAAUAAGAUUAUCUCUAUUUGCAGAUGACAUAAUUGUAUUGUAGAAAGCCCUAAAUAUUUCACAAAAAAACCACACUAUAACAAAUAAAGAUAUUCAGUAAAGUUGCAGGAUACAAAAGGAACAUACAAAAAUCAUUAGCAUUUCUAUACACCAAUAGAAAUGUAGCUGAAAAAAAAAUCAAGAAAACAAUUUCAUUUAGAAUAGCAUAAAAAAUACCAAAGGGGUGAAAUAUUUAUAUAAUUAAAAUUAUAAAACUUAAAUGAAAGAAAUUGAAGAAGACACAAAAAUUGGAAAGAUAACAUGUGCUCAUGGAUUGGAAGAAGUAAAAUUGUUAAAAUGUCCUGCUACCCCAAAUCAGUAUGCAGAUGUGACAAAAUCCCUAUCAAAAUUCCAAUGGCAUUCUUCAUAGAGAUAGCAAAAACAAUAGAAAUAGAAAUAGAAAAACAAUCUUAAAAUUUAUACAGAACCACAAAAAACCAGACUAGCCAAAAUAAUACAAAGACAAAGUUGGAAGCAUCAAGCAUCACACAUCCUGAUUUAAAGUUAUAUUCCAAAGCUAUAGUAACCAAAUAGUAUGAUACUAGCAUUAAAACAGAACCGUAGACCCAAGAAACAGGAUAGAAAGCCCACAGAUAAAUUCAAACAUAUGUGAUCGACUGAUUUUUAACAAGGGCACAAAGAGAACACAAUGGGGAAAGGAUAGUUUCCUCAGUAAAAUGUGCUGUGAAAACUUGAUUUCCACAAGCAAAAUGAUAAAAUUGGACACAAUUUUACACCAUAUGUAAAAAUCAACUCAAAAUGAAUGAAAGGCCUAAGUGUUAGACCUGAAAUCAUAAAACCAUGAAACUCCUAGAAGAGAACAUCACGUGAAAACUCCUUGACAUUGCCUGACAAUGACUUUUUGGAUAUCACAUCAAAAGCUCGGGCUACAAAAGCAAAAUGAUAAUAAAUGACCAUUACUGGUUUAUGUGUUUACUAUACUAUACAUUAUUAUUUUAGAGUGUACUCUUUCUAUUUAUUAAAAACAAUGUUAAUUGUAAAACAGUAUCAGGCUGGUCCUUCAGGAAGUAUCCAGAAGAAGGCAUUGUUGUAAUGGGAGAUGAGAGCAUAUGUGUUAUUGAUGCUGAAGGCCUUCCAGUGGGACAAGAUGUGGAGGCGGGAGACAGUGAUAUGGAUGAUCUUGACCCUGAGUAGGCCUAGCCUAAUAUGUAUGUUUAUGUCUUCGUUUUUAACAAGGAAGUUUAAAAGUAAAAAAAGUAAAAGAAUUUUAACAUAGAACAAAGCUAAUAGCGUAGGGAUAAAAAUAGAAAAUAUUUUUGUACAGCUGUACAAUGUGCUUUUGUUUUAAGCUAAGUGUUAUUAUAAAAGUCAAACAGAUAAAAACCAUUAACAAGUUUAUAAAGUAAAAAUGUUACAGUAAGUAGGGUAAGUUUAUAAUUGAAGAAAGAAAAUGUAAAAAUAAGUUUAGUGUAGUCCAAGUGUACAGUGUUUAUAAAGUCUACAGUAGUGUACAGUAAUGUCCUAGUCCUUCACAUUCACUCAUUGCUCACUCAGUGACUCACCCAAAUCAGCUUCUAGUUCAGCAAGCUCCAUUCAUGGUAAGUGCUCUAUAUAGGUGUACUACUUAUUAUCUUUUAUACCAUGUUUUUACUGUACCUUUUCUAUGUUUAGAUAUACAAACACUUAUCCUUACGUUACAUUUGCCUACAGUAUUUUACUACAAUAACAUCCUAUGCAGGUUUAUAGUGUAGAAACAAUAGGCUAUACCAUGUAACCUAAAUAUGUAGUAGCAUAUGGCAUCAGGUUUGUGUAAGUGCACUCUAUGGUGUUCAAAAAACAACAAAAUUACCUAACAGUGCAUUUCUCAGAAUGUGUCCACAUCAUUAGGUGAUGCAUGACUGUAUGUAAAAAGGUGCUCCAUACCACCAUUCAUCAAGGAAAUGAAAAUUAAAACCACUAUGAGAUAUCACCUCACACCUGUUUGAAUGGCUGUUAUCAAAAGGACAAGAGAUAAUAAAUGUUGGCAAGGUUGCAGAGAAAAGGAGACCCUAAUACAUUGUUAGUGGGAAUGUAGCUUGGUACAAAUGUUAUGGAAGAUGAUCUGGAGGUUCCUAAGAAAUUUAAAAAUAGAACUACCAUAUAACCCAGCAACCCCUUUUUUGGGGUAUAUACCCAAAGGAGAUGAAAUCAUCAUCCCUGCACUUCUGUGUUCACUGCAGCAAUAUUCAGAAUAGCCAAAAUAUGGAAACAACCUAAACGUCUGUCAACAGAUGAAUGGAUAAUAACAAUAACAAUGUGGCACUAUAUAGCUAAUAUAAUAGCUAAUAGCUAUUAUAUUAUAGCUAUUGUAAUUGUAUAUAUAUAUACACACACAUUCUAUAUGUACAUAUAUAUGUGCAAUGAAAUGUUAUUCAGUCUUAAAAAAGGAAUAGACCUGUGUGACAUUAUGCUAAGGGAAAUAAACCAGACACAGAAAGAAAAAUAGUACAUUGCCUCACUCACAUGUGGAAUCUAAAAAUAAAAUAAAAGGUCAAAUAUGGAUUCCCGGGCAUGAUGGCUGAAUAGGAACAACUCUGGUCUGCAGCUCCCAGAGACGAAUGCAGAAGGCGGGUGAUUUCUGCAUUUCCAACUAAGGUACCUGGUUCAUCUCAUUGGGACUGGUUAGACAAUGGAUGCAGCCCACCGAGGAUGAACAAAAGCAGGGUGGGGCAUUGCCUCACCUGGGAAGCACAAAGGGUCAGGGAACUCCCUCCCCUAGCCAAGGGAGGCCAUGAGGGACUGUGCCAUGAAGGAUGGUGCUAUCGGGCUCAGAUACUAUGCUUUUCCCAUGGUCUUAACAACCCACAGACCAGGAGAUUCUCUUGGGUGCCUAUACCACAAGGGCCCUGGGUUUCAAGCAGAAAACUGGGCAGCCGUUUGGGCAGACACUGAGAUAGCUGCAGGAGUUUUAUUUUGUACUCCAGUGGCACCUGGAACACCAGCAAGACAGAACCGUUUACUCCCCUGGAAAGGGGGCUGACGUCAGGGAAGCAAGUGGUCUUGCUCAGCAGAUCCCACCCACACAGAGCCCAGCAAGCUAAGACCCACUGGCUUGAAAUUCUCGCUGCCAGCACAGCAGUCUGAAGUGGACCUGAGAUGCUGGAGCUUGGUGGGGGGAGGGGCAUCCACCAUUACUGAGCUUUGAGUAGGCUGUUUGCCUCUCACAGUGUAAACAAAGCCACCGGGAAGUUUGGAUUGGACAGAGCCCACUGCAGCACUGCAAAGCCACUGUAGCCAAACUGCCUUUCUAGAUUCCUCUUCUCUGGGCAGGGCAUCUCUGAGAGAAAGGCAGCAGCCCCAGUCAGGGGAUUAUAGAUAAAACUCACAUCUCCCUGGGACAGAGCACCUGGGGGAAGGGGCAGCUGUGGGUGCAGCUUCAGUAGACUUAAACGUUCCUGCCUGCCAACUCUGAAGAGAGCAGCAGAUCUCCCAGCACAGUGAUCGAGCUCUGCUAUGGGACAGACUGCCUCAUUAAGUGGGUCCCUGACCCCUGUGCAUCCUGACAGGGAGACAUCUCCCAGCAGGGUUUGACAGACACCUCAUACAGGAGAGCUCUGGCUAGCAGGUGGUGGGUGCCCCUCUGGGAUGAAACUUCCACAGGAAGGAUCAGGCAGCAAUCAUUGCUGUUCUGUAGCCUCCACUGGUGAUACCCAGGCAAACAAGGUCUGGAGUGGACUCCCAGCAAACUCCAGCAGACUUGCAGAAGAGGGGCCUGACUGUUAGAAGGAAAACUAAGAAACAGAAAGCAAUAGCAUCAACCUCAACAAAAAGGACAACCACGCAAAAACUUCAUCCAUAGUUUACCAACAGCAAAGACCAAAGGUUGAUAAAUCCAUGAGGUUGAGGAAAAACCAGUGCAAAAAGGCUGAAAAUUCCAAAAACCAGAAUGCCUCAUUUCCUCCAAAGGACCACAGUCCUCACCAGCAAGGGAACAAAAGUGGACAGAGAGUGAGUUUGACGAAUUGUCAGAAGUAGACUUCAGAAGGUGGGUAAUAACAAACUCCUCCAAGCUAACGGAGCAUGUUCUAACACGAUGCAAGGAAGCUAAGAACCUUGAUAAAAAGUUAGAGGAGUUGCUAACUAGAAUAACCAGUUUAGAGAAGGACAUAAAUGACCUGAUGGAGCUGAAAAACACAGCACGAAAACUUCAUGAUGCAUACACAAGUAUCAAUAGCUAAAUUGAUCAAGUGGAGUAAGGGAUAUCAGAGAUUGAAGAGCAACUUAAUGAUAUAAAGUGUGAAGACAAGAUUAGAGAAAACAGAAUGAAAAGGAACAAAUAAGUCCUCCAAGAGAUAUGGAACUAUGUGAAAAGACCAAACCUACAUUUGAUCGGUGUACCUGAAAGUGAUGAGGAGAAUGGAACCAAGUUGGAAAACACUCUUCAGGAUAUUAUCCAGCAGAACUUCCCCAGCCUAGAAAGACUGGCCAACAUUCAAAUUCAGGAAAUACAGAGAACACCACAAAGAUACUCCUUGAGAAGAGCUACCCCAAGACACAUAAUUGUCAGAUUCACCAAAGUUGAAAUGAAGGAAAAAAUAUUAAGGGCAGCCGGAGAGAAGGGUCAGGUUACCCACAAAGGGAGUCCCAUCAGACUAACAGCAGAUCUUUCAGCAGAAACCCUACAAGCCAGAAGAGAGUGGGGGCCAAUAUUCAACCUUCCUAAGAAAAAUAAUUUUCAACCCAGAAUUUCAUAUUCAGCCAAACUAAGCUUCAUAAGUGAAGGAGAAAUAAAAUCCUUUACAGACAAGCAAAUGCUGAGGGAUUUUGUCACCACCAGACCUGCCUUAGAAGAGCUCCUGAAGGAAGCACUAAAUAUGGAAAGGAAAAACCGGUACCAGCCACUACAAAAACAAGCCAAAAUGUAAAGACCAUUGAAACUAUGAAGAAACCGCGUCAACUAAUGGGCAAAAUAACUCGCUACCAUCAUAAUGCUGGUAUCACAUUCACACAUAACAAAAUUAACUUUAAAUGUAAACAGGCUAAAUGCCCCAAUCAAAAAGCGCAAACUGGCAAAUUGGAUAGAGUGAAGACCCAUUGGUGUGGUGUAUUCAGGAGACCCAUCUCAUGUGCAAAGACACACAUAGGCUCAAAAUAAGGGAUGGAGGAAGAUUUACCAAGCAAAUGGAAAGCAAAAAAAAAAAAAAAAAAAAAAAAAAAAAAAAAAAAAAAAAAGAAAGAAAAAAGAAAAAAAAAGCACGGAGUCUCUAAUAAAACAGACUUUAAACCAAUAAAGAUAAAAGAGUCAAAGAAGGGCAUUACAUAAUGGUAAAGGGAUCAAUGCAACAAGAAGGGUUAAACUAUCCUAAAUACAUAUGCACCCGAUACAGGAACACACAGAUUCAUAAAGCAAAUUCUUAGAGACCUACAAAGACACUUAGACUCCCAAACAAUAGUGGAAGACUUUAACACCCCACUGUCAAUAUUAGACAGAUCAAAGAGACAGAAAAUUAUCAAGGAGAUUCAGGACUUGAACUCAGCUCUGGACUAAGUGGACCUAAUAGAAGUCUACAGAACUCUCCACCCCAAAUCAACAGAAUAUACAUUCUUCUCGGCACCACAUAGCACUUAUUCUGAAAUCGACCACAUAAUGGAAGUAAAACACUCCUCAACAAAUGCAAAAGAACAGAAAUCAUAACAGUCUCUCAGACCCCUGUGCAAUCAAAUUAGAACUCAGGAUUAAGAAACUCUCUCAAAACUGCACAACUACAUGGAAACUGAACAAUCUGCUCCUGAAUGACUACUAGGUAAAUAACAGAAUUAAAGCAGAAAUAAAUAAGUCCUUUGAAACCAAUGAGAACAAAAACACAAUGUAGCAGAAUAUCUGGGACACAGCUAAAGCAGUGUGUAGAGGGAAAUUUAUAGCACUAAAUGCCCACAGGAGAAAGUGGAAAGAUCUAAAAUCUACACCCUAACAUCAUCAUUAAAAGAACUAGAGAAGCAAGAGGAAACAAAUUCAAAAGCUAGCAGAAGACAAGAAAUAACUAAGAUCAGAGCAGAACUCAAGGAGAUAGAGACAAGAAAAACCCAUCAAAAAAACAAUGAGUCCAGGAGUUGGUUUUUUGAAAAGAUUAACAAAAUAGACCACUAGCCAGAAUAAUAAAGAAGAACAGAGGGAAGAAUCAAAUAGACACAAUAACAAAUGACAGAGGGAAGAUCACCACUGAUCCCACAGAAAUACAAACUACCAUCAGAGAAUAUGAUAAGCACCUUUACACAAAUGAAAUAGAAAUAGAAAAUCUAGAAGAAAUGGAUAAAUUUCUGGACACAUACACCCUCCCAAGAGUAAACUAGGAAAAGUUGAAUCCCUGAAUAGACCAAUAACAAGUUCUGAAAUUGAGGCAGUAAUUAAUAGCCUACCAACCAUAAAAAGCCCAGGACGAGACGGAUUCACAGGCAUAUUCUACCAGAGGUACAAAGAGGAGCUGGUACCAUUCCUUCUGAAACUAUUCCAAACAAUAGAAAAAGAGGGACUCCUCCAUAACUCAUUUUAUGAGGCCAGCAUCAUCCUGAUACCAAAACCUGGCAGAGACACAACAAAAAAAGAAAAUUUCAGGUGGAUAUCCCUGAUGAACCUCAAUGUGAAAAUCCUCAGUAAAAAACUGGAAAAAUGAAUCUAGCAGCGUAUUAAAAAGCUUAUCCAUCAAAAUCAAGUUGGCUUCAUCCCUGGGAUGCAAGGCUGGUUUAACAUACAUAAAUCAAUAAAUGUAAUCCAUUACAUAAACUGAACCAAUGACAAACAACACAUGAUUAUCUCAAUAGAUGAAGAAAAUGCCUCUGAUAAAAUUCAACCCCCCUUCAUGCUAGAAACUCUCAAUAAACUAGGUAUCGAUGGAACAUAUCUCAAAAUAAUAAGAGCUAUUUAUGACAAACCCACAGCGAAUAUCAUACUGAAGGGGCAAAAGCUGGAAGCGUUCCUUUGAAAACUGGCACAAGACAAGGAUGCCCUCUCUCACCACUCUUAUUCAACAUAAUAUUGGCAAUUCUGGCCAGGGCAAUCAGGCAAGACAAAGAAAUGAAGGGUAUUCAAAUAGGAAAAGAGAAAGUUAAAUUAUCUCUGUUUGCAGAUGACAUGAUUGUAUAUUUAGAAAACCCCAUUGUCUCAGCCCAAAACCUCCUUAAGCUGAUAAGCAACUUCAGCAAAGUCUCAGUAUACUAAAUCAAUGUGCAAAAAUCACAAGCAUUCCUAUACACCAAUAAUAGACAAACAGAGAGGCAAAUCAUGAGCAAACUCCCAUUCACAAUUGCUACAAAGAGAAUAAAAUACCUAGGAAUACCACUUACAACGGAUGUGAAGGACCUCUUCAAGAGAACUACAAAUCACUGCUCAAGGAAAUAAGAAAGGACACACACAAAUGGAAAACUCUUCCAUGCUCAUGGAUAGGAAGAAUCAAUGUUGGGAAAAUGGCCAGACUGCCCAAAAUAAUUGAUAGAUUCAGUGCAAUCACCAUCAAGCUACCAUUGACUUUCUUCACAGAAUUAGAACAAUUCUAAUUUUUCUAAUGAAUUUAAAUUUCUAAAGAAUUUAAAUCCUUUAAAUUUCAUAUGAAACCAAAAAAAGAGCCUGUAUAGCCAAGACAAUCCUAGGCAAAAAGAAUAAAGCUGGAGGCAUCACAUUACCUGACUUCAAACUAUAGUACAAGGCUACAGUCACCAGAACAGCAUGGUAAUGGUACCAAAACAGACAUUUGGACCAAUGGAACAGAACAGAGGCCUCAAAAAUAACACCACGCAUCUACAACCAUCUGAUCUUUGACACACCUGACAAAAACAAGCGAUGGGGAAACGAUUCCCUAUUGAAUAAAUGGUGUUGGGAAAACUGGCCAGCCAUAUGCAGAAAACUGAAACUGGAUCCCUUCCUUACACCUUAUACAAAAAUUAACUCAAGAUGGAUUAAAGAUUUAAACAUAAGACCUAAAACCAUAAAAAUCCUAGAAGAAAACCUUGGCAAUACCAUUCAGCACAUAGGCAUGGGCAAAGACUUCAUGACUAAAACACCAAAAGCAAUGGCAACAAAAGCCAAAAUUGACAAAUGGGAUCUAAUUAAACUAAAGAGCUUUUGCACAACAACAGA